GCCAAAUCAGUAAAAUGAAUCAGAGCUUUGCAUUAGGGAGAUACAUUUCUUAAUUUAUAAUAAUUUCUAACAUUUUGACAUGUUUUAAUAUUUCUACACAUUUCACUCAUGGCCACAGGUCUGCACAUGAAAGGUUCUGCUCAAAGCAAACACGUUAUUUUGAGUUUUUCUUUACAAGUACAGACAAGGUAUUGUAGGAAGUCCGAAGACAUUUGUUCCUAAAAAUUACCAGCUUCAAACCAUCCC
This 246-nucleotide long non-coding RNA is filed under the name Mytilus galloprovincialis (Mediterranean mussel). The record is from RNAcentral. Lineage: Eukaryota; Metazoa; Mollusca; Bivalvia; Mytilida; Mytilidae.